RNAcentral lists this ribosomal RNA (253 nucleotides) under uncultured bacterium. RNAcentral describes it as "partial 16S ribosomal RNA". It matches the Rfam family "Bacterial small subunit ribosomal RNA", at positions 524 to 776 of the family's 1533-position model. The record is from RNAcentral.
UACGAGGGGCCCAAACGUUAUUCGGAAUUACUGGGCUUAAAGAGUUCGUAGGCGGCUCAGAAAGUAGGGUGUGAAAGCCCUCGGCUCAACCGAGGAAUUGCGCUCUAAACUACUGUGCUUGAGGGAGCUAGAGGUGAGCGGAACUGAUGGUGGAGCGGUGAAAUGCGUUGAUAUCAGCAGGAACACCGGAGGCGAAGGCGGCUCACUGGGGGUAUUCUGACGCUGAGGAACGAAAGCCAGGGGAGCGAACGGG